This 528-nucleotide long non-coding RNA is filed under the name Gallus gallus (chicken). The record is from RNAcentral. Lineage: Eukaryota; Metazoa; Chordata; Aves; Galliformes; Phasianidae.
UAGCUGAACAGAAGAUAAAUCUCGUUAGAAGCAAACGAAGAAAUUCAUCCCCAAAAAACUGAAGAAAUGAUUGAUCUAUGGAGCGGGAGUGGGUCAGCAGCUGCGCAAUAUCUCGAUUGAUUUUUCUGAGGUAAUCUUGACACUUCUCCCACAGUCCUCUGCGCAUGCUUGAUAAUCCAGAGACAAAUAGGAAUGCCAUUAAAGGAUUGUUCAGAAAGAGUGUGAAGAGGCUACCCCGCUGAGACUGAUCCUGUAACGCUUUUGGAUAUGCUGUUGGAGAAAGCAAGCACACCAAUGGUUGUCCAAAUAAGUUUGUGAAAUUCUUAUAGGCCACACUGUUCGAAGAAUCCACAAUGAUAAAAAGUGGCUUUCUUGUGAAAGGGUAGAGAUCCCCAGGAUGAAGACAAUGCAUCUCCUUGUAAGAUUGGUUUCGCUUGUGGAUAGCAUCUCCAUUUAUAACGUCCCGGUUACUAUUUGUCAGAACACCACCAAAAUCGUAUGGGCCUUCACUAUCCGAACGACCUGAUG